RNAcentral lists this ribosomal RNA (468 nucleotides) under uncultured bacterium. RNAcentral's name for it is "partial 16S ribosomal RNA". It matches the Rfam family "Bacterial small subunit ribosomal RNA", at positions 28 to 507 of the family's 1533-position model. The record is from RNAcentral.
GACGAACGCUGGCGGCGUGCUUAACACAUGCAAGUCGAACGGAAAGGCCCUGCUUUUGUGGGGUGCUCGAGUGGCGAACGGGUGAGUAACACGUGAGUAACCUGCCCUUGACUUUGGGAUAACUUCAGGAAACUGGGGCUAAUACCGGAUAGGAGCUCCUGCUGCAUGGUGGGGGUUGGAAAGUUUCGGCGGUUGGGGAUGGACUCGCGGCUUAUCAGCUUGUUGGUGGGGUAGUGGCUUACCAAGGCUUUGACGGGUAGCCGGCCUGAGAGGGUGACCGGCCACAUUGGGACUGAGAUACGGCCCAGACUGCUACGGGAGGCAGCAGUGGGGAAUAUUGCCCAAUGGGCGGAAGCCUGAUGCAGCAACGCCGCGUGCGGGAUGACGGCCUUCGGGUUGUAAACCGCUUUCGCCUGUGACGAAGCGUGAGUGACGGUAAUGGGUAAAGAAGCACCGGCUAACUACGUG